AGAAGCGUAACUCAGAGUGGCUAGAGUGUCGGUCUUACAAACCGGAAGUCGUGGGUUCGAGUCCCACCGCUUCUACCA
Molecule: transfer RNA, 78 nt
Filed under: Blastocatellia bacterium
Lineage: Bacteria; Pseudomonadati; Acidobacteriota; Blastocatellia
Description: tRNA-Val
Rfam family: tRNA
About the family: Transfer RNA (tRNA) molecules are approximately 80 nucleotides in length. Their secondary structure includes four short double-helical elements and three loops (D, anti-codon, and T loops).
Source: RNAcentral